AUGGUGUCUUCUGUGUUAAGUAUUCCCACCUACAAGCAUUGCCCAACACGAUUAAGUUCUGGUGCUCAAUAUGUAGGGUGGAGUAAGACAAGUGUGUCCACCUGUACAAUCAUGAUGCUGAUUGUGUCUACAAGGGCCUGGUCACAGGUACAAUUGAUGCAUGGACAAGCAUGUGCCUCUAUUAUUAAAAUACCCAACUACUUUAUGUCCCGAUUGAAAGGAUUUUGGGCAAUUAUCGUCCUUCAUUCAACAAUUUUUGGAUCUGAGGAUAUUGUUGAUUUAAUUUUAGCACUUUAUCUUCGCACUGAUUUUAUGUUCAGUUAUUAUUUUAUACUUGAUCCUGCAAAGUAA
Molecule: ribosomal RNA, 351 nt
Filed under: Triticum aestivum (bread wheat)
Lineage: Eukaryota; Viridiplantae; Streptophyta; Magnoliopsida; Poales; Poaceae
Description: partial small subunit ribosomal RNA
Source: RNAcentral